RNAcentral lists this ribosomal RNA (250 nucleotides) under Clostridioides difficile. RNAcentral's name for it is "partial 16S ribosomal RNA". It matches the Rfam family "Bacterial small subunit ribosomal RNA", at positions 1293 to 1533 of the family's 1533-position model. Lineage: Bacteria; Bacillati; Bacillota; Clostridia; Peptostreptococcales; Peptostreptococcaceae. The record is from RNAcentral.
UCGGAUUGUAGGCUGAAACUCGCCUACAUGAAGCUGGAGUUACUAGUAAUCGCAGAUCAGAAUGCUGCGGUGAAUGCGUUCCCGGGUCUUGUACACACCGCCCGUCACACCACGGGAGUUGGAGACGACCGAAGCCGAUUAUCUAACCUUUUGGAAGAAGUCGUCGAAGGUGGAAUCAAUAACUGGGGUGAAGUCGUAACAAGGUAGCCGUAUCGGAAGGUGCGGCUGGAUCACCUCCUUUCUAAGGAGA